Molecule: ribosomal RNA, 491 nt
Filed under: uncultured bacterium
Lineage: Bacteria
Description: partial 16S ribosomal RNA
Rfam family: Bacterial small subunit ribosomal RNA
Source: RNAcentral
AGUGAACGCUGGCGGUAUGCCUAACACAUGCAAGUCGAACGGCAGCACAGUAAGAGCUUGCGCUGACGGGGGGCGAGUGGCGGACGAGUGAGGAGUACAUCCGCAUCUACUGUUUCGUGCGCGGUGACGGAGGGAAACUUACGCUAAUACCGCAUACGACGUACGGGGGAAAGCGGGAGAUCUUCCGACCUUGCGCGAUUGGAUGAGCGGAUGUCGGGUUGGCUGGGUGGCGGGGUAAAGGCCCACCAAGGCGACGAUCGGUUGCUGGUCUGAGCGGAGGAUCAGCCACCCUGGAACUGAGCCACGGCCCAGACUCCUAGGGAAGGCAGAAGUGGGGAAUAUUGGAAAAUGGGGGCAAGCCUGACCCAGCCAGACGGCGUGGGUGAAGAAGGCCUCCGGGUUGUAACGGCCUUUUGUUGGGAAAGAAACCUAGCAGCUUAUACCCCGGGUGUUUGAAGGGAACGGAAAGAAAAGGACCGGCUUACUACGGU